RNAcentral lists this long non-coding RNA (2031 nucleotides) under Octopus vulgaris (common octopus). The record is from RNAcentral. Lineage: Eukaryota; Metazoa; Mollusca; Cephalopoda; Octopoda; Octopodidae.
UUUUUGGUGUAAUUCAACCAGAAAAAUGUUCACUUAAAGAGAAUGACAAGCUAUACAAUGCAAAAUUUUUGCUUUUCAAAAAUUCCAAUUCUAAAGGGUCGAAACAAACCCAAGCAACGCCGGGCGAUACUGCUAGUAACAAAUAAAUUUCUAUUUAUUCUUUUAAUAAAAUACAUUAAUAUUUUCAAAAGAGUUUUAUGUUGUAUACAUUCACCACGAUUAAUCUUUCUCCUUACAGAUCAUGUUUAUAUGUCACAUAAAAGAACUGUCCACAGAGUUACAUUUCAUAACAAAGAACCUGCCCUUCUCCUCAGUGGUUCUCAAGAUGGAGAUAUGAAAAUAUUCGUAAGGCCAUUACCGCUUCUUCACCUGUUUAUCUGAAUCAUUUCACACGCCAUUGAAAAUGCAUGUAAUAUGAUAAUUGAUUAUAAAAUUACAUCCAUGUAAAUUCAGUAAUUUUUUAUAUUUAUUUUAGAAGCCUUCUUAAUGCAAUAAUUAUUUCAGAACCCUUUUCCUUCAUUCAACUGAAUUUCAUCUCUGAUUAUAUAUUUCUGCUUUAUCUAUAUCAAGGACUUUUAUUAUCUUUAUAGGACAUCAGACGGAAAGAUGUGAGCAAAACAUUUUCAGCCAAAGAAAGUGUUCGUGAUGUUCAGUUUUGUCCACAUAGUUCGGGAUAUUUCCGCUUUGCUGCCGGAUUGGAAAAUGGCAUUGUUCAGGUCAUUAAAAGUUUUUUGUUUAUUACACUUUGCUUUGAUUCUUGAUUAUUGCAAGCAGUUGAGAAAUUUACUUUUCCAAUAGAAUAAGUUACUAAUUAGUCUAUUAUAGUCCAUAGAAAUCAUGCUUGAAGCAGCACAAUGCUCCCACCCACCAACUCAUCCGAUUCUGUCAAACCAUUCACUCUGUACCAGCAUAGAAAAUAGAUGCUAAAUGAUGAUGAUGGUGGCGAUGGCAAUGAUAACAAUAUUGUAUUUUUAAAACGAGUUAUUUAUACUGAGAUUUGAGUGUGGUCAUUGCCAAUUCUAGCGUGACUGGCCCCUGUGCCGGUGGCACGUAAAAGCACCUACUACACUCUCGGAGUGGUUGGCGUUAGGAAGGGCAUCCAGCUGUAGAAACUCUACCAGAUCAAGACUGGAGCCUGGUGCAGCCAUCUGGUUCGCCAGCCCUCAGUCAUACGUCCAACGCAUGCUAGCAUGGAAAGCGGACGUUAAACGAUGAGGAUGAUGAUGAUGGUGAUUUGUUUGCUGGCUGUUUAUCUUUGAUGUCUGUCGUCUUAUAUUGACAGCAUUUCAUUCAAUUGUCUGCAAUUAUCUUCAGUUGACAUUCUUGUCCAUUUCUAAACUUCACUAAAUUUUGAUCUUUAAUUCCUGACUACUGGAUCUGUUGCUAAGUAACAUUUUUGUUACCAACCUCACUGAGAUCAGCCUCUUGUCCUAUGAUACGAAUUUCUUGUUUUGAAGUGAACUACGUUAAAAGUGUCCAUCAAAAGAUUAUGUUAAUUUAUAUUCCAAACUCCAGCCUAAUCGUGACAAAGUCGUCUUACUAUAAAUUCUCUAUUAUUUUCAAACUUAAAUGAAGCAAAGACAAUGUAUUUCAAUAUUUCAGCAGAAAUUUGGUAACAGAAGCGUUACAGUUUUUCUUUUUUCUUUCAAACAAAUAGGAAUGGGAUAUUCGACGUCCAGAUCGUCCUGAUAGAGAGAUAAUAGCUCAUACAGGACCAGUGUUCACACUGGACUGGAACCCUAUGGACAAAAACUGGCUUGCCACCGGUGGAAGAGAUAGAGCUAUAAGAGUAAGUAAAGUUGUCUGAUAGUGUAUGCUUUAAAUGUUAGUUUUUCUUCCUGUCAAAGAGUGGAGGAACUUGUAUGAGUCGAUGGGCUUUCAGUAGUGUGUAUAAAGAGGGGGUUAACCUCAAUGAUGAAAAAUCCCUGAGCCAGUCAUAGUGAAGUUAUGGUAGAUAUGAAGUUGGGCAUAUUGAUCUUCAGAAUUUCAUUUGACGAGUCAGGUACAUCAACAUCAAAAAAUCAAAUGGAA